This 89-nucleotide transfer RNA is filed under the name Limnochordaceae bacterium. RNAcentral describes it as "tRNA-Leu". It matches the Rfam family "tRNA". Rfam says of the family: Transfer RNA (tRNA) molecules are approximately 80 nucleotides in length. Their secondary structure includes four short double-helical elements and three loops (D, anti-codon, and T loops). Further hydrogen bonds mediate the characteristic L-shaped molecular structure. tRNAs have two regions of fundamental functional importance: the anti-codon, which is responsible for specific mRNA codon recognition, and the 3' end, to which the tRNAs corresponding amino acid is attached (by aminoacyl-tRNA synthetases). tRNAs cope with the degeneracy of the genetic code in two manners: having more than one tRNA (with a specific anti-codon) for a particular amino acid; and 'wobble' base-pairing, i.e. permitting non-standard base-pairing at the 3rd anti-codon position. RNAcentral also lists the same sequence under 1 other name. Lineage: Bacteria; Bacillati; Bacillota; Limnochordia; Limnochordales; Limnochordaceae. The record is from RNAcentral.
GCCGGGGUGGCGAAACGGCAGACGCGGGGGACUUAAAAUCCUCUGGGCUGGCGAAGCCCGUGCGGGUUCGAAUCCCGCUCCCGGCACCA